AGAAUCAUCCAGAGCUCCUGUGCUAUAAUGGCAGUUUGAACCGCUGGAGCCGAGAUUUGAGCCCCGGGACCCAUCAGUCCUGCUGGACCGUCUGUGAAACUGGUCCUGAACCCAGUGACCUCCGCCUCUGGGGGCAAUUCCAUCUCCAGUGGUUUUUGCCACAGGCUGGACAGGGUCGAAGUUGCUUCGUCUUGCUGCCUGGGCAAUCCUUAAAAUGCCCUGGCCUGCCACAUCAAUAGCAACUAGCAGAUGCACCUUGGGGAUUCUGGAUGUUGCAAGCCUGCAAAGCUGCUGCUAGAGCCUCUGUCCGUCUCCCGAGCUUGCUCUCUUUCUUUUGGGCAUCCUCCUCCUGGUCCAUAUUAUUAAAGACCGAAGUGGCCACUUUCAGGAGGCUCUCUAAGGUGCUGUCUGGUCCUGUACCUUGGUUUUGUAGUUUCCUUCUACUAUCAGGAGCUGCCUUGUGUAAUAAACUUGUCCUUCAGGAUGAGCUGUUCCUCAACUGAAUUACGGGAUAAGGAGGUAUACUCUAUUAGUGCCUUUCCAUAAAGGCUACAGGAGUCUUAUCUGGCUUUUGGUCCAUUAUAGACAGUUUAGAGUAUGAUACCUUGUUUUAACCUGAAUUGACUCUCCCUUAGCUGAGAGAGCCAGACAGACACCAUCUUGGCUCCUUCACUUACAGCCCCUUACUCACCCCCUUCCUCAAGGACUUAACUUGUGCAAGCUGACUCCCAGCACAUCCAAGAGUGCAAUUAACUGAUAAGAUACUGUGGCAAGCUAUAUCUGCAGUUCCUAGGAAUUUGCCCAGUUGAUAGCACCCAGAGCCCCCCGCGUUUGUGUCCGGUUGAUAACACCCAAAGCCCCGCGCCUAUCACCUUGUGAUGGAUUUAAAACCCCUGCACCUGGAACCGUUUGCUUUCCUGUAACCAUUUAUCCUUUUUACUUUUUGCCUGCUUUAUUUCUGUAAGAUUGUUUUAACUAGACUCCCCCCACUCCCCUUUCUAAACCAAAGUAUAAAAGAAAAUCUAACCCCUUCUUCAGGGCCGAGAGAAUCUUGAGCACUAGCCGUCUCUCGGUCUCUGGCUAAUAAAGGACUCCUGAAUUUG
RNAcentral lists this long non-coding RNA (1103 nucleotides) under Homo sapiens (human). RNAcentral describes it as "novel transcript, sense intronic to ZSCAN5A". The record is from RNAcentral. Lineage: Eukaryota; Metazoa; Chordata; Mammalia; Primates; Hominidae.